GAUGGACGCUGGCGGCGUGCCUAAUACAUGCAAGUCGAGCGAACGGACGAGAAGCUUGCUUCUCUGAUGUUAGCGGCGGACGGGUGAGUAACACGUGGAUAACCUACCUAUAAGACCGGGAUAACUUCGGGAAACCGGAGCUAAUACCGGAUAAUAUUUUGAACCGCAUGGUUCAAAAGUGAAAGACGGUCUUGCUGUCACUUAUAGAUGGAUCCGCGCUGCAUUAGCUAGUUGGUAAGGUAACGGCUUACCAAGGCAACGAUGCAUAGCCGACCUGAGAGGGUGAUCGGCCACACUGGAACUGAGACACGGUCCAGACUCCUACGGGUGGCAGCAGUAGGGAAUCUUCCGCAAUGGGCGAAAGCCUGACGGAGCAACGCCGCGUGAGUGAUGAAGGUCUUCGGAUCGUAAAACUCUGUUAUUAGGGAAGAACAUAUGUGUAAGUAACUGUGCACAUCUUGACGGUACCUAAUCAGAAAGCCACGGCUAACUACGUG
Molecule: ribosomal RNA, 497 nt
Filed under: uncultured bacterium
Lineage: Bacteria
Description: partial 16S ribosomal RNA
Rfam family: Bacterial small subunit ribosomal RNA
Source: RNAcentral